Long non-coding RNA from Neogale vison (American mink), 546 nucleotides. RefSeq lists it as uncharacterized. The record is from RefSeq and is a predicted model, not a curated record. The transcript has 5 exons. Lineage: Eukaryota; Metazoa; Chordata; Mammalia; Carnivora; Mustelidae.
GAGUGGCAGACGAAGGACAUACCCUGUCUCGGGAGUGCAGUAAAGCCUUUGAUCUACUUCUUAAGAAAUCUUCGAGGACAAUGUAGGAGAACACGGAGGAGACUGGUGAAGGAGGCAGGACACAGCAUGAGGGGUCACUCCAGUUCUCCAGAGGCACAGUCUGUUCCCUCCCCAGGUGCACCGUACAGGUUGAGGGACUAUAUGGGAGCUGAAAUGAAGGCACUCUACUCAGUUUUAGCCACGGGAAGAAGAACACUUUUUGAAGUUCAUCUUGAAGGUCUUCCAGCUACCUCUGCCCUCCUGGACCUACCCUCCUCUCAGGGCUGCUUGCUCUGAGGCACCUUUCCAUGAAGUCUUCCUCACCUUCUGGCAAUGUUCUCUUCCGUGCGUUAAACAUCUCCCCUGUGCCAGAAGCCCAAAUCCAGCCCCAAAUAUCUGGCCUGAGGAGCCAUCGCCAGCAGAGAGGGAUAUACCAGGACUGUGGGAGCCCAGGAUUGGAGGAAGGAAAACUCAGGAGUUCAGCUGGAGAGUUAUCAAACCAUUCUG